This 1372-nucleotide ribosomal RNA is filed under the name uncultured bacterium. RNAcentral describes it as "bacterial SSU rRNA". It matches the Rfam family "Bacterial small subunit ribosomal RNA", at positions 28 to 1381 of the family's 1533-position model. The record is from RNAcentral.
GAUGAACGCUGGCGGCGUGCCUAAUACAUGCAAGUCGAGCGAACGGACGAGAAGCUUGCUUCUCUGAUGUUAGCGGCGGACGGGUGAGUAACACGUGGAUAACCUACCUAUAAGACUGGGAUAACUUCGGGAAACCGGAGCUAAUACCGGAUAAUAUUUUGAACCGCAUGGUUCAAAAGUGAAAGACGGUCUUGCUGUCACUUAUAGAUGGAUCCGCGCUGCAUUAGCUAGUUGGUAAGGUAACGGCUUACCAAGGCAACGAUGCAUAGCCGACCUGAGAGGGUGAUCGGCCACACUGGAACUGAGACACGGUCCAGACUCCUACGGGAGGCAGCAGUAGGGAAUCUUCCGCAAUGGGCGAAAGCCUGACGGAGCAACGCCGCGUGAGUGAUGAAGGUCUUCGGAUCGUAAAACUCUGUUAUUAGGGAAGAACAUAUGUGUAAGUAACUGUGCACAUCUUGACGGUACCUAAUCAGAAAGCCACGGCUAACUACGUGCCAGCAGCCGCGGUAAUACGUAGGUGGCAAGCGUUAUCCGGAAUUAUUGGGCGUAAAGCGCGCGUAGGCGGUUUUUUAAGUCUGAUGUGAAAGCCCACGGCUCAACCGUGGAGGGUCAUUGGAAACUGGAAAACUUGAGUGCAGAAGAGGAAAGUGGAAUUCCAUGUGUAGCGGUGAAAUGCGCAGAGAUAUGGAGGAACACCAGUGGCGAAGGCGACUUUCUGGUCUGUAACUGACGCUGAUGUGCGAAAGCGUGGGGAUCAAACAGGAUUAGAUACCCUGGUAGUCCACGCCGUAAACGAUGAGUGCUAAGUGUUAGGGGGUUUCCGCCCCUUAGUGCUGCAGCUAACGCAUUAAGCACUCCGCCUGGGGAGUACGACCGCAAGGUCGAAACUCAAAGGAAUUGACGGGGACCCGCACAAGCGGUGGAGCAUGUGGUUUAAUUCGAAGCAACGCGAAGAACCUUACCAAAUCUUGACAUCCUUUGACAACUCUAGAGAUAGAGCUUUCCCCUUCGGGGGACAAAGUGACAGGUGGUGCAUGGUUGUCGUCAGCUCGUGUCGUGAGAUGUUGGGUUAAGUCCCGCAACGAGCGCAACCCUUAAGCUUAGUUGCCAUCAUUAAGUUGGGCACUCUAAGUUGACUGCCGGUGACAAACCGGAGGAAGGUGGGGAUGACGUCAAACCAUCAUGCCCCUUAUGAUUUGGGCUACACACGUGCUACAAUGGACAAUACAAAGGGCAGCGAAACCGUGAGGUCAAGCAAAUCCCAUAAAGUUGUUCUCAGUUCGGAUUGUAGUCUGCAACUCGACUACAUGAAGCUGGAAUCGCUAGUAAUCGUAGAUCAGCAUGCUACGGUGAAUACGUUCCCGGGUCU